CAGCCGCUCUAUUAUGUCCUCCG
Molecule: non-coding RNA, 23 nt
Filed under: Arabidopsis thaliana (thale cress)
Lineage: Eukaryota; Viridiplantae; Streptophyta; Magnoliopsida; Brassicales; Brassicaceae
Source: RNAcentral